RNAcentral lists this ribosomal RNA (384 nucleotides) under uncultured archaeon. RNAcentral describes it as "bacterial SSU rRNA". It matches the Rfam family "Archaeal small subunit ribosomal RNA", at positions 464 to 848 of the family's 1478-position model. The record is from RNAcentral.
GCCGCGGUAACACCAGCAGCCCAAGUGGUGACCACGAUUAUUGGGCCUAAAGCGCUCGUAGCCGGAUCAGCAAGUCCCUUGUGAAAUCGGGCCGCCUAACGGUUCGGCGUGCAAGGGAUACUGUUGGUCUUGAGGCCGGGAGAGGUCGGAGGUACUCCUGGGGUAGCGGUGAAAUGCUCUAAUCCUAGGGGGACCACCAGUGGCGAAGGCGUCCGACCAGAACGGACCUGACGGUGAGGGGCGAAGGCUAGGGGAGCGAACGGGAUUAGAUACCCCGGUAGUCCUAGCUGUAAAGCAUGCGGGCCAGGUGUCUAGCGCUCCUCGAGGGCGCUAGGUGCCGGAGGGAAGCCGUUAAGCCCGCCGCCUGGGAAGUAGGCCGCAAGG